AGAGUUUGAUCCUGGCUCAGAACGAACGCUGGCGGCGUGCCUAACACAUGCAAGUCGAACGUGAUUAGAGAGCUUGCUCUCUAUGAAAGUGGCGCACGGGUGAGUAACGCGUAGAUAAUCUACCUGGUGAUUUGGGAUAACACUUCGAAAGGGGUGCUAAUACGAAUAAGCCCACAGGGUCCUUGGACCCAGCGGGAAAAGGAGGGGACCUUCGGGCCUUCCGUCAUCAGAUGAGUCUGCGUACCAUUAGCUAGUUGGUAGGGUAAAGGCCUACCAAGGCGACGAUGGUUAGCUGGUCUGAGAGGAUGAUCAGCCACACUGGAACUGAGACACGGUCCAGACUCCUACGGGAGGCAACAGUGGGGAAUUUUGCGCAAUGGGGGAAACCCU
This 390-nucleotide ribosomal RNA is filed under the name uncultured bacterium. RNAcentral's name for it is "bacterial SSU rRNA". It matches the Rfam family "Bacterial small subunit ribosomal RNA", at positions 8 to 384 of the family's 1533-position model. The record is from RNAcentral.